RNAcentral lists this unclassified non-coding RNA (142 nucleotides) under Gloeocapsa sp. HG2. RNAcentral's name for it is "partial 16S-23S ribosomal RNA intergenic spacer". The record is from RNAcentral. Lineage: Bacteria; Bacillati; Cyanobacteriota; Cyanophyceae; Chroococcidiopsidales; Chroococcidiopsidaceae.
UUAGGGAGACCUACCCAACGCUGAGAGUUGGAGAACAAAUCAGUGUGAGGUCAACCUAGGUCGGUCGAAGAACAGAUGUGUGGCUUUCAAACUAGAAUUCGGUUCAGGUCAGGCUAAACCGAGUAAGGGCUAUUAGCUCAGG